AUUCCAGUCUGGCUUAUUUAAGGAGGACUUUGAGGAGUGAUGCUUUUGGAAACAGAAAAGGACAAACACUGUAAUGUCUGAACGAGGAAGAGGAAGAGCAAGGGGUCCAGGGAGAAGACCAGGUCCAGGGAGAGGUGCAGGUGCAGUAAGAGGAGCAGUGAGAGAUGUAGAAGGAGGUGCAGUGAGAGGAGCAGGUGCAGGAAGAGGAGCAGUGAGAGGUGCAGUAGGAGGUGCAGUGAGAGGAAGAGUAAGGCGUGCAGAUGUAGAAGGAGGUGCAGUGAGAGUUGCAGGUGCAGGAAGAGGAGUUCUUCUUCUUCUGACCAUCAGCCACAUGACCCGAUGUCCCUCCUUGAAGCCAUGGAUGCUGGCUGCAGGGACAUCACAGUUCACGAUGGCCACGGGUGGAUCCGACAUGCCAAGCGGUUUGAUCCCAGGUGCAUCGCCUUAGAUGAUGUCAGAUGUGAUGUUGACGAAAACAUGUGGCCGAACCCUGAAGAUCGCAGAGAUUAGAUGCAUACAUUGUUUGCCAUUUUUAGUUCCCCCCUUGUCAUCUGGGCUUUUGGCUGUUGUUUUUUUCAGAAUGCUCGUGUGUUUCAUGGAUAUUUUGUUAAAAUAAACCUUUUCUGUUCUAUUAUACUGUUUCUACUGUACCGUCUUUGGUAAACAGUUAAGAAAAAAUAACCAAUUUGCUUUUUACUGGAAUGCGUUUGAGUGUGAACAUUACUGCACAUGUGCGCAUACAGUUCCAAACCAAUACAUUUAGUGUAAAUGGUGCAUUGCAUGCUACCUGAAACAUAAGUCUAUGCAAUGUUUAUAAUGUCAACAAUAGCCAGAAUUCUGAAACCUGGUGUACUUCGUUUGACUGCAUGUACCUUGUGAAGUGAAAACAAAUGUUAUGACAGAAUAAUUUCAUUUUGAGUCAGAUUUCCAGUGUUUUGGUAAAGUUAGUGUGUGCAGAGAAAGAAAUUAAGAGUUAGUAUAUAUUUAACAAAAUGUGUUUUUGAGAAGAAAAUUGUGUGUGCCAAUUGUGUCUUGUAGGUGUGAGUCUGUGUUAAGAGUUUAGAAAAAUCUCAGUUUCCAACAAAAAGAAACAAAAGUCUUUCUUUGUCUAGUCGGUUUAUUUAUUUUCUGACAAAUAAAACGUAACACAUAUUUAUAUAAAACACAUCACAAAUAUCUCAAACUUUUAACAGUGUUUAUGUGUGCGUACAGAAAAACAAGUUUUGUGUGUGUGUGUGUGUGCGUGUGUGCGUGAGUGUGUAGGCUCGUUGUUUGUGGGGGUUUUGGGGUUUAUGUGUGCAUGGACAAGAAAUGAGUUAAACAGAACAGUGUAACAACACACGCUUUAACAAUUAUCUGGGUCAGUCUUAACAGCAACAUGAACCCCCACCUCAGCAGAAUGAGGCUUCCCAUCAAGUUAUUUAUUCUCUAAAAUGAGCCUUGCUCGAUUUCGCCGACCACGAGUGAGGUCUCCUGUUAUGCUAAAAACCCGCUCAGCAAAUGCUUGGGAUGCUGGCGUUGCCAGAAGGUCAAAAGCAAAGGGUUUCUGGGACUUUUGUAGCUCUUGCCUGACAGAGGACUUUGGUCUUAAUGGCCGACUUGUACUUUGAAGAUGGGGAUGUCUCUGGUGCCUCCCUUCCCUCUUCCUCCUCCUCAUAAGCGUCAUCCUCCUCCUGUGGUCAUAUUGUUUGAGAAAUGUAAUCUUCCCCAGCGCUCUGGGGGAAGCGGGACAGGUGAGCACUCAGGUCCAAGAGGGCGGGCACCACCAGGGAUAAGGACAUGGUGUCGCUCUGUAGCAUCCUAGUAUGCUCUGCAAAGGGGAGGAGCAGGUCUCUGACAGCAGCCAGCUUCUGCCACUCACUGGGCAGGAGACAGUCCCAGUCCAUCCCAUCAGCCACCUGGACAAUUGAGUCCUUCACUUCAAGAAGGCAGGAGACCAUCUGAUAUGAGCUGGACCAUCUAGUGACCAGUCUUUGACCAGAGUAAGUCCACACAGCUGGAGCAGUCGCUCAGUUGCUACAAAACCCUUUUAAUUGUACCACCUUCUCUCUUCCUUCACUGUUCCCUGUCCACAGAAAUAGGCGUAGCUUGGUUUCCAUCAUGUCAGAUGAUAUUUCUUUGGACUUUCUUUAACACUGAAGCUGAUUACAAAAACAAUUGUAAGCAAGCUAACCUUUUUAUUGUAAUUGGAACAUGGUUAUAAUCAAUAAAUGUGUUUAUUUAUUUCAGUGUUCCAGAAAAGAGUCCUGAACCUACAGGUGGAUAUCCGCAAUCGCCUGAAGGAAACACAGCCUGCCUCUUCAGCUGUCCAUAUUGAGAGGAUUGACACCAUGGAGGAGUUUGAGGAGCAACGCCUCUCUGACGCACAGACCUUUGAUACCCUAGUAGGUUUUACAAGUCUCAAAGUAAUGGAUACCCUAAAAUAAAAUAAAACAGUGCACUCACACACUGUUAAGAUUCCUCUGUGGAGUGUCAGUCAACUAUAUUAUGCACUUAUUUCAACAGGUGCUGCAAAUUUCCAGAAUUGGUGGGCGGAACACCAAGGACUGUGCCCACAAAGUGUUGGACAGGUAUCUGCAUGAGCAUGUCAGAAUAGGUCACGUUAAUACAGUUGUGCCCAUUAGUUUACACACCCAUGCUAAUCCGCCUGCCUCUAUGUUAAACUUUGCGUGCUGUGGCGAGUCUGUCUUUAAAUGUCUGCCUUUCGGCAUCGUAAAGUUUAUCAACUACAUUUGUUAUUUUAGCUUUCAUUCAUAAAGAAAAUUGGGGUCCUUAAAAGUUGGAUUUGUCCUAUUUUUUUGAUCAAGAUCAAUUUCCAAAAGAAGACUAGGGGACACUGAUCAACUAGUGUAAAGGAUUUAUUGCAUUUGUAAUGUGUUCACAUUCAUUUAUUGAAAUGUAUUUUUCUUUAGGCUCUUCACCAACAGCCUCACGGCCAAAUUUAAUUUAAGGGCAAGAGGAAAAUGGGGAAACGUCCUUUAGAGGGAACAAAGCUUUAUAGAGCAAUACAAGAAGGGCUCAUGAAAUUCGAUCCCACAGCCACCGAGGAGAAGAUCAAAGUGAACGUGUCCGAGCACCUGAAGCCGCGCCGCAAAGACGUGGAGGAUUUACAACGCCCCGAUAAGCCAGCCCCCUCACUCCAUGCAGGAAGACGGUCCUAAAUGAUAUCGGCUUCCACCUCACCAGUGAUGUGGCGACAGAGGCGUGGACAUUUAGUCAAGAUUGUGUUUCCCUUUUUUUUAUAACACUGGGAGCUACAUGAGCCAUCCAUAUAUAUAUAUAUAUAUAUAUAUAUAUAUAUAUAUAUAUAUAUAUAUAUAUAUAUACAUAUAUAUUUAUAUAUAUAUAUAUAUAUAUAC
Molecule: long non-coding RNA, 3359 nt
Organism: Gasterosteus aculeatus aculeatus (three-spined stickleback)
Lineage: Eukaryota; Metazoa; Chordata; Actinopteri; Perciformes; Gasterosteidae
Source: Ensembl